This 442-nucleotide ribosomal RNA is filed under the name uncultured bacterium. RNAcentral describes it as "partial 16S ribosomal RNA". It matches the Rfam family "Bacterial small subunit ribosomal RNA", at positions 338 to 795 of the family's 1533-position model. The record is from RNAcentral.
CCUACGGGCGGCAACAGUAGGGAAUCUUUCACAAUGGGCGAAAGCCUGAUGGAGCAACGCCGCGUGCAGGAUGAAGGCCUUCGGGUUGUAAACUGCUUUUAUAAGCGAGAAAUAUGAUGGUAACUUAUGAAUAAGGAUCGGCUAACUACGUGCCAGCAGCCGCGGUCAUACGUAGGAUCCGAGCAUUAUCCGGAGUGACUGGGUGUAAAGAGUUGCGUAGGUGGCAUAAUAAGUAGCUAGUGAAAUCUGGUGGCUCAACCAUUCAGACUAUUAGCUAAACUGUUAAGCUCGAGACCGUUAGGGGUAACUGGAAUUUCUAGUGUAGGAGUGAAAUCCGUAGAUAUUAGAAGGAACACCAAUAGCGUAGGCAGGUUGCUGGGACGGUUCUGACACUAAGGCACGAAAGCGUAGGGAGCAAACGGGAUUAGAUACCCCUGUAGUC